UCGAACGGUAACAGGCCGCUGGGAUCCCUUCGGGGUGACCUUGGCGCUGACGAGUGGCGGACGGGUGAGUAAUACUUAGGAAUCUGCCCAGUAGUGGGGGACAACUCGAGGAAACUCGAGCUAAUACCGCAUACGCCCUACGGGGGAAAGCGGGGGAUCUUCGGACCUCGCGCUAUUGGAUGAGCCUAAGUCGGAUUAGCUUGUUGGUGGGGUAAAGGCCUACCAAGGCGACGAUCCGUAGCUGGUCUGAGAGGACGAUCAGCCACACUGGGACUGAGACACGGCCCAGACUCCUACGAGAGGCAGCAGUGGGGAAUAUUGGACAAUGGGCGCAAGCCUGAUCCAGCAAUGCCGCGUGUGUGAAGAAGGCCUGCGGGUUGUAAAGCACUUUCAGUAGAGAAGAAAAGCCUACGGUUAAUACCCGUGAGUCUUGACGUAACCUACAGAAGAAGCACCGGCUAACUCCGUGCCAGCAGCCGCGGUAAUACGGAGGGUGCAAGCGUUAAUCGGAAUUACUGGGCGUAAAGCGCGCGUAGGCGGUUUAGUCAGUCGGAUGUGAAAGCCCAGGGCUCAACCUUGGAAUUGCAUUCGAUACUGCUUGACUAGAGUAUGGUA
RNAcentral lists this ribosomal RNA (615 nucleotides) under uncultured bacterium. RNAcentral's name for it is "bacterial SSU rRNA". It matches the Rfam family "Bacterial small subunit ribosomal RNA", at positions 62 to 653 of the family's 1533-position model. The record is from RNAcentral.